GGGGGUACCCCACAAUUUACGGUUUUGGGUAGUUACCUUAAAAUCCAAAAAUAUAUUUUUUGGUUAAAUUUCCCGCUAUUUUCGUAAAUAUUUUCUAUGCACAUAUCAUCAAGGAUCAUUGGAAUGAUGAAGACAUAAAUAUAAUACCAUCUCCAAGUAAAACUUUCAAACUUAAAGUUAGCUGUUUUUUAGGUAGAAAUUUAACGCGUUUUUCU
Molecule: long non-coding RNA, 215 nt
Filed under: Mytilus galloprovincialis (Mediterranean mussel)
Lineage: Eukaryota; Metazoa; Mollusca; Bivalvia; Mytilida; Mytilidae
Source: RNAcentral